Molecule: ribosomal RNA, 495 nt
Filed under: uncultured bacterium
Lineage: Bacteria
Description: partial 16S ribosomal RNA
Rfam family: Bacterial small subunit ribosomal RNA
Source: RNAcentral
GACGAACGCUGGCGGCGUGCCUAAUACAUGCAAGUGGAACGCUGAAGGAGGAGCUUGCUCUUCUGGAUGAGUUGCGAACGGGUGAGUAACGCGUAGGUAACCUGCCUGGUAGCGGGGGAUAACUAUUGGAAACGAUAGCUAAUACCGCAUAACAGUAGAUGUUGCAUGACAUUUACUUAAAAGGUGCAAUUGCAUCACUACCAGAUGGACCUGCGUUGUAUUAGCUAGUUGGUGGGGUAACGGCUCACCAAGGCGACGAUACAUAGCCGACCUGAGAGGGGGAUCGGCCAAACUGGGACUGGGAAACGGCCCAGACUCCUACGGGAGGCAGCAGUAGGGAAUCUUCGGCAAUGGACGGAAGUCUGACCGAGCAACGCCGCGUGAGUGAAGAAGGUUGUCGGAUCGUAAAGCUCUGUUGUAAGAGAAGAACGAGUGUGAGAGUGGAAAGUUCACACUGUGACGGUAUCUGACCAGAAAGGGACGGCUAACUACGUG